UACGGAGGGUGCGAGCGUUAAUCGGAAUUACUGGGCGUAAAGCGCGCGUAGGCGGUUUGAUAAGCUGGAUGUGAAAGCCCUGGGCUCAACCUGGGAACUGCAUCCAGAACUGUCUGACUAGAGUACAGUAGAGGUGAGUGGAAUUUCCUGUGUAGCGGUGAAAUGCGUAGAUAUAGGAAGGAACAUCAGUGGCGAAGGCGGCUCACUGGACUGAUACUGACGCUGAGGUGCGAAAGCGUGGGGAGCAAACAGG
Molecule: ribosomal RNA, 253 nt
Filed under: uncultured prokaryote
Description: partial 16S ribosomal RNA
Rfam family: Bacterial small subunit ribosomal RNA
Source: RNAcentral